Molecule: ribosomal RNA, 253 nt
Filed under: uncultured bacterium
Lineage: Bacteria
Description: partial 16S ribosomal RNA
Rfam family: Bacterial small subunit ribosomal RNA
Source: RNAcentral
UACAGAGGUCUCAAGCGUUGUUCGGAUUCCUUGGGCGUAAAGGGUGCGUAGGCGGCGCGGUAAGUCGGGUGUGAAAUCUCGGAGCUUAACUCCGAAACUGCAUUCGAUACUGCCGUGCUUGAGGACUGGAGAGGAGACUGGAAUUUACGGUGUAGCGGUGAAAUGCGUAGAUAUCGUAAGGAAGACCAGUGGCGAAGGCGGGUCUCUGGACAGUUCCUGACACUGAGACACGAAGGCCAGGGGAGCAAACGGG